GGCGCUUUAGCUCAGUUGGUUAGAGCGAUGGAAUCAUAAUCCACAGGUCCGCGGUUCGAGUCCGUGAAGCGCCACCA
This 77-nucleotide transfer RNA is filed under the name Rubrivivax sp. Its description in RNAcentral is "tRNA-Met". It matches the Rfam family "tRNA". Rfam says of the family: Transfer RNA (tRNA) molecules are approximately 80 nucleotides in length. Their secondary structure includes four short double-helical elements and three loops (D, anti-codon, and T loops). The record is from RNAcentral. Lineage: Bacteria; Pseudomonadati; Pseudomonadota; Betaproteobacteria; Burkholderiales; Sphaerotilaceae. RNAcentral also lists the same sequence under 4 other names.